GCGGAGGUUACCAAGUCAGGCCAAAGGUGCUAGACCGAGGCUCUAGUCUCGUAGGAGUCCGCGAGUUCAAAUCUCGCCCUCCGCACCA
This 88-nucleotide transfer RNA is filed under the name Candidatus Thorarchaeota archaeon. RNAcentral describes it as "tRNA-Leu". It matches the Rfam family "tRNA". From Rfam's summary of the family: Transfer RNA (tRNA) molecules are approximately 80 nucleotides in length. Their secondary structure includes four short double-helical elements and three loops (D, anti-codon, and T loops). Further hydrogen bonds mediate the characteristic L-shaped molecular structure. tRNAs have two regions of fundamental functional importance: the anti-codon, which is responsible for specific mRNA codon recognition, and the 3' end, to which the tRNAs corresponding amino acid is attached (by aminoacyl-tRNA synthetases). tRNAs cope with the degeneracy of the genetic code in two manners: having more than one tRNA (with a specific anti-codon) for a particular amino acid; and 'wobble' base-pairing, i.e. permitting non-standard base-pairing at the 3rd anti-codon position. The record is from RNAcentral. Lineage: Archaea; Promethearchaeati; Candidatus Thorarchaeota.